CAAUAGCGUAUAUUGAAGUUGUUGCAGUUAAAAAGCUCGUAGUUGGAUUUCUGGUCGGAAGCUCCUGUCCUCUGAUGAGCGUACAAGUGCGUCCUACCAUCCUUCUGUUAACCUUUAAGGCUUUCGCGGCUUUCUAGGGGCUCAGAUAUUUUACCUUGAGAAAAUUAGAGUGUUUCAGGCAGGCUAGCGCCGGAAUACAUUAGCAUGGAAUAAUGGAAUAGGACUUUUGCCUCUUCUGUUGGUCAUGAGGCUCGAGUAAUGAUUAAUAGGGAUAGUUGGGGGCAUUAGUACUUAACUGUCAGAGGUGAAAUUCUCGGAUUUGUUAAAGACUAACUUAUGCGAAAGCAUUUGCCAAGGAUGUUUUCAUUAA
RNAcentral lists this ribosomal RNA (370 nucleotides) under uncultured eukaryote. Its description in RNAcentral is "partial 18S ribosomal RNA". It matches the Rfam family "Eukaryotic small subunit ribosomal RNA", at positions 592 to 976 of the family's 1831-position model. The record is from RNAcentral.